This is a long non-coding RNA of Cyprinus carpio carpio, 1535 nucleotides long. The record is from Ensembl. Lineage: Eukaryota; Metazoa; Chordata; Actinopteri; Cypriniformes; Cyprinidae.
UGUGCGUGACAAUCACAUGUGAUAUAUCGCCCAGCCCUAGUUUACUCUUAGGGGAAAGCUUGCGUAUACAUUGUAAUACUUUCUAAAAUGGCGGACGACGUAACUCGGAGGAGAAGAAUGGUUGAGUAAAUUGCUAUUUUUGUUUUCUUUGCGCAAAAAAAGUAUUCUUGUAGCAUCACAAAACUGAAGUUGAGCCAGUAAUGUCACAUGGACUGUUUUACUCAUGUAUUUACUACAUUUCUGGACCUGGGAACAUUUCAGUUGUGUUACUGUCCAUGGAGGGUCAGAUAGCUCUCCGAUUUCAUCAAAUAUAUCUUCAUUUGUGUUCCGAAGGUAAAUGAAGGUCUUACGGGUUUGGAACAACAUGAGGGUGAGUAAUUAAUGACAUAAUUUUCAUUUUGGGGUGAACUAACCCUUUAAUGAUCAACACUAUCAGACAUUAUCUAGUGUGAACCGCUUGCUGAACAGUUACAUGGUGACACUGCUUCAUGCUCUUUUUCAAAAACAUUUGGAACCUGAUUCUGAUUGAUGUGGGAGAGAAAAAUGUAAGGGAUCGUGCUCACUGUUAGCUUUUCUUUAUACAUUUUCCUUGCCUUUACCAUGCUGCCUUACCUAAGUACACUUACAAGAGCUAUUUUACCAAGGUCUGGAGAGUACACUGACUUCACGCUUAUGAAACGAAAAGUUGAUGGUGCAUUUGAAGUUCAGAGCAUUCACGUCAGAAGACUACAUCUUUAUUGAAUUUGGAAAAAGACAAAAAAUGCUUUGUAUUACUGCUUCAAAGUGAAAUAAAACAAAAGUGAAACAAGAACAGUUCCAACAGUUCAUUGUGUAGUUGUUGACUUCUCAGAUUUAGUUUAGAUAUGUAUAUUUAUUUAUUCAUUAAUUUAUUUAUAAAUGCAAAUUUAUUCACCAGUAGUUUUCGGAUUUAUAGGGAGCACAAAAAACUGUGACCACCUACACUAUAAAUGCCUCUAAUUAGAGUCCAUUAAUGGUUUUAUAAAGACUUGAAUGGAUAUGUAGGGAGAAGAUGACAAUGAGCUGAAAAUAACUAUUUUUAUUUUAUAUGUAAAGAAAGGAACCAUCUGAUAAAUAAGUGGCACAGCUUUGGGGAAUCAACUGGGACACUAGUCAAUUAUUAUAAGCUUUAAAAACAUAUGACUACAGAAUAAUCACAAUCGACCAACCAGAAUCGAGUUUUACAGAUACUGUAUUACUAUUUAUUCAUGCAUUAAUUUUGGUCAGUUUGGAUUUUCUCCUCUUUCUGAUCUUUCAUCACCUCGGUAUAAAGGACUGAUAUAAAACAGAUCUCAUUCUAAAAUGUAAUUUUUUAUGAAGAGAGGAUUUAGCCUUAUACUGUGCUUUUUUUUUGUCUCUGUAAAUUACUAUUUGUGCGUUUAUGUGUAAUUGGAUGGUUUAAGGUUCUUGACGAAGAUGUAGGCAGGGGUUUAUAAUAAGUGAUUUUCAUGUAUCCUCUUACUCUGUAUACACAUAUCUAACAUCUUUGGUAUUUGAAGUAUUUAUACUGUUGCCUG